GACGGCGACGGCCGAAAGGCUGCUCGCGGGGCCUCUUCGCCGCUGUCGAUUGCGGGAUGCCGACCAGAAUUCGAUCAAAGUGCUCACAUUGCCCACGAUCUUGACGCUCGGUCGUGUUGCUGCUGUGCCGCUCUUCAUCAGCAGUACGUGUCUCUUCCACAUAAAAGUUUGCACAUUUCUUCAUUUUUUCAUCUGGUGUUUCAUGCGUAUAUCGCCACUGAGGCAUAGCAUUUAGCUGGUCUGUCUGCUUUGGAUAGAUGGAGCUUGGAUUUCCAUUUCGGAUAUGAGAUUGGAGGGGAAUUUUUUAGAAAAAUCAACAGAAUUUGAGUGGAAAUGUAUGAUUAUUAUGCAAGAACCUAAGGAGAAAUCUUGGGGCCCUGUGGUAAUGCUUGAAUGAUUCAAGUUCUGUAUUUCCCUUACUUCCGUUGCUGAUGCAUGGCAUUGGGUAGAUACUAGUUCUACUGUCAAUGGCGAUUUCGACUUUCAUUUUCCUCAGCUGGGUAGUGAAAGUAGAUGGCAUCGAAUUGGUUUUCUUUUCAAAUCCUAUUUGUUACCUUUUGCCGCCCCUUUCUUUAACUGGUGAGGCAUUGUGCUUUUAACACCAUACCUUCAUUUUAUGGCUAGAUAGGAUGUUGGCCUGUUUUAGUUGUGUAUAUACUUGUCCUUGUCGUAUUCGAAUUGCAAUCUCCGAGGCGUGUGGAUGGGGUUACUUAAGUCCACAGUGUUCUUAUAGUUGAAUUGUUUAUGAGGCAUAUGUGGAGGCUCAAUCUUGAUGAUGGCUUGACAUGGUUUCUUCUUUCACCAGCUUUUUAUAUGGAUAGUUGGUGGAUUACUACUGCUAUGACUAGCAUUUUUAUUGCUGCAGCAAUUACUGAUUGGCUCGAUGGCUAUCUUGCUCGGAAGAUGCGAUUAGGCUCUGCUUUUGGUGCUUUCUUAGAUCCAGUGGCUGACAAGUGUCAUAACAAUGGCUAUCAUUUCGGGCUGUUGCUGUAAAUAACUUGGGAAAUUGGAAGACAGCCACCCAGACGACUGCACUAACCAUCUUAUUGGCGACUAGUAUAUCUUCCUCUUUGUAGUAGUCAGGUAAGAAGGUUUGUGUGGUUUGAAAAUCUAAUGCUUACUCAUUUGCUUGUGCAGUACUGGAGGACCUGGGCUGACUGGUACUGGAAAGGCUUCGCUUUAUAUCUCGGUCGGGCUUGCUGUCUGGUCCUUGGCUGUGUAUAUAAGGAAGAUAUGGAAAGUUUAUUUUGCUAAAAUAGUGUUAUGCGCCCAGUGCUUAGCUUUUAGCUUUCCUGGACUUGGCAGCAAAAUACAGUGCAGUCUCCAGUUACUCGAAGGGAGAAUUAUUAGUAUAGUUACUGGUUCUUGAAUAUCUUUCUUCUGGAGGUAGGUCCCUUAGGAUGGUGUGUCACGCCAAGAUCCUUGGCGCAGGUUGGGGAAGUAAGUGAACAAUGCUAGGCAACUAUGGGAAGAAGAUACAAGAUCGAAAUCUAGCUGUCAGGAAUUUCAAUCAUUGCUGUAGUUUUCUCUUUGUUUCAGAAGAAGAGAAAGUUCUCUGUAAUUCAGAAGAAAUGAGCAUCCUUUGAAGGAAUACAUUCUUGAUGCUGACAAUUCGUUCAAGAGGUUUGAAGGGUGUUCCUUAUCGUAGCACUGCAAUACAUUCUUCAUUCUGGCAAUUCAUUAAAUGGGUUGUUUACGAGCGAUAAAUUUCUGGCUGUUAUGGCUCCUUGGGAUAAACAUUGACGAUAGAAAUCAAGCUGCCAAGCUUCUGCAGGAAUAGGUUAUGCAUAAGCACCCUUCUAUAUAUAGCAUAUGCAAGAGUGCUUUACUCUUAAGAGGAAUCGUAAGGCAGACUACUCAUGUUCCAUCAUCAACAACAUCAUCAUCACCAGGAAGAAUCAAGAAUAGGCAGUCUCUCGUUGUUCUUCAAUCCUUUAGUCCGAAAAAAGUCUUUAUCGGCUUCCGAAAUAUGCUGUUUAUAUCCUUCACUGCCUCCUUCAAGUCAAUGGUCGGAUCUACUAACCCAUGGUGGCAAACAUUUUCCACCAUUGGGUCAUCCAAGAUCGCCGACCCGACAAAUUUGCAGACAGCUGUGUCCUCUCUGAAGUUUCCUUGAGAUGAUUCACAUUUCUCAACUCGUCAGAACUCUCAAGAUCACUUGGCCGAGAGAAAACAAAUGCAGAGAAGAUAGAAUUUUCCGUGUCAUCUCCUUUAUCCCGCCCUCCCAAUUUUCUCUGUCAUCAAUGUAGAUUUCGAGUGGUUUCUAUCGGGGCUGGAUAGGUUCAUUUUUCUCAUCUGAAUCGUCGUCAAUGAACAUUGUGAGUCCUCUGUUAGAACUCAGAUAUUCUUUUUGUUGGUUACUAUUUGCUCCCAAGUCCUUUCAAUAGAACAGCAAUCUCGAUGGGCUCAA
Punica granatum (pomegranate) is the source of this 2410-nucleotide non-coding RNA. Lineage: Eukaryota; Viridiplantae; Streptophyta; Magnoliopsida; Myrtales; Lythraceae. The record is from RefSeq and is a predicted model, not a curated record.